GAUGAACGCUGGCGGCGUGCCUAAUACAUGCAAGUCGAGCGAACGGACGAGAAGCUUGCUUUUCUGAUGUUAGCGGCGGACGGGUGAGUAACACGUGGAUAACCUACCUAUAAGACUGGGAUAACUUCGGGAAACCGGAGCUAAUACCGGAUAAUAUUUUGAACCGCAUGGUUCAAAAGUGAAAGACGGUCUUGCUUUCACUUAUAGAUGGAUCCGCGCUGCAUUAGCUAGUUGGUAAGGUAACGGCUUACCAAGGCAACGAUGCAUAGCCGACCUGAGAGGGUGGUCGGCCAGACGGGAGCUGAGACACGGUCCAGACUCCUACAGGAGGCAGCAGUAGGGAAUCUUCCGCAAUGGGCGAAAGCCUAACGGAGCAACGCCGCGUGAGUGAUGAAGGUCUUCGGAUCGUAAAACUCUGUUAUUAGGGAAGAACAUAUGUGUAAGUAACUGUGCACAUCUUGACGGUACCUAAUCAGAAAGCCACGGCUAACUACGUG
RNAcentral lists this ribosomal RNA (497 nucleotides) under uncultured bacterium. Its description in RNAcentral is "partial 16S ribosomal RNA". It matches the Rfam family "Bacterial small subunit ribosomal RNA", at positions 28 to 507 of the family's 1533-position model. The record is from RNAcentral.